This is a long non-coding RNA of Neogale vison (American mink), 567 nucleotides long. RefSeq lists it as uncharacterized. The transcript has 3 exons. Lineage: Eukaryota; Metazoa; Chordata; Mammalia; Carnivora; Mustelidae. The record is from RefSeq and is a predicted model, not a curated record.
UCUUUCUUCGUCCCUUCGUCCGGAGCUGCCUCCCCAGCACCACCAACAUGGCCUCCGACAAGCCAGAGCUACUGCCUCUUGAUGCCGCCGGCCGUCGGGAGCCCAGCAAAGAGUGGUUUUCAGAGCAGGGAAGACCAGCUCGGGAUGCAUCAGGAAUUGGAAGUUUGCUUUGAGGACCAAAAGAUGGCUCAAACUUGGCCUGCUUUGUCAUCCGCGUGCCAGGCUGACUCAAGAGCACCAAUUACCAGCCAGCUGCCUUGGACUCCUCCUCGCCAGGACCAUCUGGAGAAUCUGGCCUGCCCUGGCACUUCCCUUUCGAGCUUCUCUGCCUUUAGAGCUCCCUCUGGAGAUCAGCAUCAUGGUACCUGGGAAAGGUGCCUUCUACCCACCCCAAGUGGUCCCUCCUCAAGCUCUGGGAGCCCCUCCCUCAGGGACAGGCCCUUGGGGUCCCUGUUGCCACUCACAGAGCCCAAGGCCACCAGCACUCUCCUGCCUGGCCCUGCUGUGACCUGACCAGCGCUAUCCUUAACCACACGGUCCUUAGCGAUUCCCCCCACCCAGAGGAAC